GAUGGUGACAGCAAAGCUACCAUUCAUCCUAACUCCUUCUCUAUUACACAUCCGGUUAGUCCCUAACGGCACAAGUCCUAGCAGUGAGUGCAAGUGACCGGGGCAGAAGAGGGGAAGGAGGAGGGGCAAUGCUGUGAGAAGGAGAGUACAAACCACCUGGAUUUUGUACUGGUGAAGAAACUGAGGGAUGAUUGGGCCCCCUCUGCCCUUUAUAUCCCUCAAUCGGGGAGCAGAAGAGCAUCUAGUGUGAAGAUACAACCUCAAUGGAUACUGCUAGCCAAAAUAAUGUGAUCUUGUGCACAUGGGAUGCAUGCACACCAGAAGCAGAAUCCAUGUAAACAAUACAUCUUGAAGAAUCACAGCUACUAUAAGGGCUGUGACGGGUUGUACAAACGCCUCACUGGACAGCAAAGAGUUGAAGAGCAGCUCUGGCCUCACAAGGUUCCGCCUGUACUGUGUGUACUCCACUUGGAGGUGGGGUUAAAAAGGGAGCAGGCUAGCUCAGUUGGGGGUGAACAAGGGAGAGAGAAGGACCCGCUCUGGGAGCUCCGGAGGACACAGCCAGACCGGGAGCAGGUGUGUC
Long non-coding RNA from Caretta caretta (loggerhead turtle), 583 nucleotides. RefSeq lists it as uncharacterized. Lineage: Eukaryota; Metazoa; Chordata; Testudines; Cheloniidae. The record is from RefSeq and is a predicted model, not a curated record.